AUUGAACGCUGGCGGUAGGCUUAACACAUGCAAGUCGAGCGGUAACAUUUCCAGCUUGCUGGAAGAUGACGAGCGGCGGACGGGUGAGUAACGCGUAGGAAUCUACCGAGUAGUGGGGGACAACCAGUGGAAACGCUGGCUAAUACCGCAUACGCCCUACGGGGGAAAGCAGGGGAUCUUCGGACCUUGCGCUAUUCGAUGAGCCUAAGUCGGAUUAGCUUGUUGGUGAGGUAAAGGCUCACCAAGGCAACGAUCCGUAGCUGGUCUGAGAGGACGAUCAGCCACACUGGGACUGAGACACGGCCCAG
This 308-nucleotide ribosomal RNA is filed under the name uncultured bacterium. Its description in RNAcentral is "bacterial SSU rRNA". It matches the Rfam family "Bacterial small subunit ribosomal RNA", at positions 30 to 334 of the family's 1533-position model. The record is from RNAcentral.